AGCACAGCUUUAUAAAAAGACCGUAUUAAUUUGCUUUAUUGGGUAAUAACGGGGCAUUCGGGACAUACAAUCAUACGCUAGAUGCUGCGUGUAAUAAUUAACAUUGUAAAUCCCUAUCUUUUUUUUUUAUAUAAGUAGAGUACUUUAAAAAGAGUGGACGACUGAGUUCAUAUACAAGCAGACGCCCUUUCAUUUAAUCUCAAUCUUGUUUCAGGCCGGCUUUUGUCCAUAACUGCUACGCUGCGUAAAAAAAAAAUAAGAGAAAUUGAAAAAUAUGGGCGUCGUCUAAGGAUGGUAACUAGCUUCAUUAUACUAUGGGUCUUCCUUCUUUUCCAACGCUUCCACUUUGACCUCAAUCUCUUCUCGAUGGCCUAAGGUAGCAAGGUUGUGUUAAAAAAAACAAAUACAUCAGAGCAAGACACUUUUGGGUUUAUUAGGUAUUAUAGGUAUAGGUCAAUUAAUUUCUUAUCUUUUGUUGAGAGGAUAAGGGUAAUAUUAGCGACCCUUAAGUAAUUUUUGUUCUGUUUUACUUCAGUUUAAUAAAAGCGACUGCCGCCGACCUUACUCCCUUUUUUUUAUUAUGCUCCUCGAGACAAGGUCGCUUAAAAAAAAAAAAAAGCUUAGUCAGACAUGCAAUCAGCGCAAUUUAUGGAAGCUGGAAAGGGGGGCCGCAUUUUAUGCACUAUCUCUUGAAUUCAAAAAGUAAUUCAGGCCAAAUUAACUAAGGAUGCAAAUGAAGCGAGUACUGAACGAAUAGUCAUGUUCUGAAUUUCAAGCAUUCAAAUUUUGCUUUUCAGCGCUGUUCAUCUUAGCGCUUACCAUAAAGAGGAAUACGUAAUUCAACAACGGAGUUGAAAAAUUUUUAAAAUCGUGCCGGUGUUAGUGAGAAGAGGAUGGAGGGAAUUAAUACUUCGAUGGAAGAUGCAACUUGCAAAUGUAGUCCGGUUACCAAGAGACCCAAACCUCUUCCACUUUACUAUUUCUCCUUUGAGAAAUAUAUCAGUUUGCGGUAAUAGGUAAUAUGAAAAAGGCAAUAAAAAAAAGAGAUACUUGUCACCAUCUCGUCUCCCUUUACCUUUUUUACUUAAUCUUCUUCGUCGUCAUCUGUUCCAUCCCUUUCCUAGCUUAGUCUUCUCCGGCUAGUUCUUAGUGCGGUGAGCAAAAAAAAUAGCGUUUUUUUUCCCUCACCAGGACUUUUUUUGUUAACCGAAAAUCGGCAUCUCUAGUUUUCCUGGACAAAAAAGGCAAAAUGGAAAUAAACACUCAUACGAAUCAGUAAAGAUGUAAAUAAUCGCAGUAACGACUGCACAAGGAUGUCAGAAAAAGCAGUUUAAUUCCAGAAGUGGUUUUCCAAUUUAUCACACAUGUACAUGAAGGGAAAUGUAUAAAUACGGUCUUCGUAAAACAAAGGAUCUCUUCACCUGGUUUCUUCAUUUAUAAG
Molecule: non-coding RNA, 1441 nt
Organism: Saccharomyces cerevisiae S288C
Lineage: Eukaryota; Fungi; Ascomycota; Saccharomycetes; Saccharomycetales; Saccharomycetaceae
Source: RefSeq